CGGCAAUGGAGGAAACUCUGACCGAGCAACGCCGCGUGAACGAUGAAGUAUUUCGGUACGUAAAGUUCUUUUAUUAGGGAAGAAUAAAUGAUGGAAAAAUCAUUCUGACGGUACCUAAUGAAUAAGCCCCGGCUAACUAUGUCGGAGCAGCCGCGGUAUUACAUAGGGGGCAAGCGUUAUCCGGAAUUAUUGGGCGUAAAGGGUGCGUAGGCGGUUAAAUAAGUUUAUGGUCUAAGUGCAAUGCUCAACAUUGUGAUGCUAUAAAAACUGUUUAGCUAGAGUAAGAUAGAGGCAAGUGGAAUUCCAUGUCUAGUGGUAAAAUGCGUAAAUAUAUGGAGCAACACCAGUAGCGAAGGCGGCUUGCUGUGUCUUUACUGACGCUGAGGCACGAAAGCGUGGGGAGCAAACAGGAUUAGAUACCCUGGUAGUCCACGCCGUAAACGAUGAGUACAAAACGUUGGGUAAAACCAGUGUUGAAGUUAACACAUUAAGUACUCCGCCUGAGUAGUACGUACGCAAGUAUGAAACUUAAAGGAAUUGACGGGACUCCGCACAAGCGGUGGAUCAUGUUGUUUAAUUCGAGGGUACCCGAAAAACCUCACCAGGUCUUGACAUGCUUCUGCAAAGCUGUAGAAACACAGUGGAGGUUAUCAGUUGCACAGGUGGUGCAUGGUUGUCGUCAGCUGGUGUCGUGAGAUGUUGGGUUAAGUCCCGCAACGAGCGCAACCCUUAUUGUUAGUUACCAGCACGUAAUGGUGGGGACUUUAGCAAGACUGCCAGUGAUAAAUUGGAGGAAGGUGGGGACUUCGUCAAAUCAUCAUGCCCCUUAUGACCUGGGCUACAAACGUGAUACAAUGGCUGUUACAAAGAGUUAGCUGAA
Molecule: ribosomal RNA, 880 nt
Filed under: 'Cicadulina bipunctata' phytoplasma
Lineage: Bacteria; Bacillati; Mycoplasmatota; Mollicutes; Acholeplasmatales; Acholeplasmataceae
Description: bacterial SSU rRNA
Rfam family: Bacterial small subunit ribosomal RNA
Source: RNAcentral